This 433-nucleotide unclassified non-coding RNA is filed under the name soil metagenome. RNAcentral describes it as "partial contains 5.8S ribosomal RNA, internal transcribed spacer 2, and large subunit ribosomal RNA". The stretch from base 1 to 120 matches the Rfam family "5.8S ribosomal RNA", at positions 35 to 154 of the family's 154-position model. The record is from RNAcentral.
GAUGAAGAACGCAGCGAAAUGCGAUACGUAAUGUGAAUUGCAGAAUUCAGUGAAUCAUCGAAUCUUUGAACGCAUAUUGCGCUCCCUGGUAUUCCGGAGAGCAUGCUUGUUUGAGUAUCAGUAAACACCUCAACUUCCAUAUCUUUUUUGAAAUGGGAGUUGGACUUGAGUGAUCCCAACGCUUUUCCUCACCGAAAAGUGGCGGGUUACUUGAAAUGCAGGUGCAGCUGGACUUUUCUCUGAGCUAUAAGCAUAUCUAUUUAGUCUGCCUAAAAAACAGAUUAUUACCUUUGCUGCAGCUAACAUAAAGGAGAUUAGUUCUUGUGCUGACUGAUGCAGGAUUCACAAAGACAGGCUUCGGCCGACUUUGUAAACUCGAUCUCAAAUCAAGUAAGACUACCCGCUGAACUUAAGCAUAUCAAUAAGCGGAGGA